GUAGAUAUGUAUAGAAAUGUUCUUUCUUUCUUGUAAAGUAUGCAAAUAUCAAGGAAUGAAUGUGUCUGUAAUCUACAAUUCACAACAAUAGUGGAACUUGCCUUUAACUGAAUAAUUAUUUGUCAUAUUUAGGACAAGUGCUUGUGGCAGCUGUCUUCUCUGAACAGCAGUCUGGUGAACACCGGUGAACACCGGCCUCAGUACACUGAAGAUCUAAGAAAACACUUCACACCCUACAACCCCUAAAAAUAACCCAGAUUUGACAGAACUACACACCCAUCUGAGGCCUACCUGUUUUACUUCAUUAUCACCCCACAUACUUCUACAACUAACCCGCUUUGUAAGUUCUCAUAGUUACACCUUAAAGCAGCACAUAAUUUUGGAAACAUUUCCUGUGUA
This is a long non-coding RNA of Sinocyclocheilus rhinocerous, 399 nucleotides long. RefSeq lists it as uncharacterized. The record is from RefSeq and is a predicted model, not a curated record. NCBI's taxonomy places the organism in Eukaryota, Metazoa, Chordata, Actinopteri, Cypriniformes, Cyprinidae. The transcript has 3 exons.